This 502-nucleotide ribosomal RNA is filed under the name uncultured bacterium. RNAcentral describes it as "bacterial SSU rRNA". It matches the Rfam family "Bacterial small subunit ribosomal RNA", at positions 355 to 874 of the family's 1533-position model. The record is from RNAcentral.
UGGGGAAUAUUGGACAAUGGGCGCAAGCCUGAUCCAGCCAUGCCGCGUGAGUGAUGAAGGCCUUAGGGUUGUAAAACUCUUUCAGUAGGGGAAGAUAAUGACGGUACCUACAGAAGAAGUUCCGGCUAACUCCGUGCCAGCAGCCGCGGUAAUACGGAGGGAACUAGCGUUGUUCGGAAUUACUGGGCGUAAAGCGUGCGUAGGCGGCUUUGCAAGUAGAGGGUGAAAUCCCAGAGCUCAACUCUGGAACUGCCCCCUAAACUGCAGAGCUAGAAUCCUGGAGAGGUGAGUGGAAUUCCUAGUGUAGAGGUGAAAUUCGUAGAUAUUUGGAGGAACACCAGUGGCGAAGGCGGCUCACUGGCUCGAUACUGACGCUGAGGUGCGAAAGUGUGGGGAGCAAACAGGAUUAGAUACCCUGGUAGUCCACACCGUAAACGAUGAAUGCCAGUCGUCGGGUAGCAUGCUAUUCGGUGACACACCUAACGGAUUAAGCAUUCCGCCU